RNAcentral lists this ribosomal RNA (429 nucleotides) under Chloroflexota bacterium. RNAcentral describes it as "Chloroflexi bacterium partial 16S ribosomal RNA". It matches the Rfam family "Bacterial small subunit ribosomal RNA", at positions 355 to 776 of the family's 1533-position model. Lineage: Bacteria; Bacillati; Chloroflexota. The record is from RNAcentral.
UGGGGAAUAUUGCACAAUGGUCGCAAGCCUGAUGCAGCCAUGCCGCGUGUGUGAAGAAGGCCUUCGGGUUGUAAAGCACUUUCAGCGGGGAGGAAGGCGUUAAGGUUAAUAACCUUGGCGAUUUACGUUACCCGCAGAAGAAGCACCGGCUAACUCCGUGCUAGCAGCCGCGGUAAUACGGAGGGUGCAAGCGUUAAUCGGAAUUACUGGGCGUAAAGCGCACGCAGGCGGUCUGUCAAGUCGGAUGUGAAAUCCCCGGGCUCAACCUGGGAACUGCAUUCGAAACUGGCAGGCUAGAGUCGUGUAGAGGGGGGUAGAAUUCCAGGUGUAGCGGUGAAAUGCGUAGAGAUCUGGAGGAAUACCGGUGGCGAAGGCGGCCCCCUGGACAAAGACUGACGCUCAGGUGCGAAAGCGUGGGGAGCAAACAGG